GAUGAACGCUAGCUACAGGCUUAACACAUGCAAGUCGAGGGGCAGCAUGGUCUUAGCUUGCUAAGGCCGAUGGCGACCGGCGCACGGGUGAGUAACACGUAUCCAACCUACCGUCUACUCUUGGACAGCCUUCUGAAAGGAAGAUUAAUACAAGAUGGCAUCAUGAGUCCGCAUGUUCACAUGAUUAAAGGUAUUCCGGUAGACGAUGGGGAUGCGUUCCAUUAGAUAGUAGGCGGGGUAACGGCCCACCUAGUCUUCGAUGGAUAGGGGUUCUGAGAGGAAGGUCCCCCACAUUGGAACUGAGACACGGUCCAAACUCCUACGGGAGGCAGCAGUGAGGAAUAUUGGUCAAUGGGCGCAGGCCUGAACCAGCCAAGUAGCGUGAAGGAUGACUGCCCUAUGGGUUGUAAACUUCUUUUAUAAAGGAAUAAAGUCGGGUAUGUAUACCCGUUUGCAUGUACUUUAUGAAUAAGGAUCGGCUAACUCCGUG
RNAcentral lists this ribosomal RNA (490 nucleotides) under uncultured bacterium. RNAcentral's name for it is "partial 16S ribosomal RNA". It matches the Rfam family "Bacterial small subunit ribosomal RNA", at positions 28 to 507 of the family's 1533-position model. The record is from RNAcentral.